Molecule: long non-coding RNA, 639 nt
Filed under: Heterocephalus glaber (naked mole-rat)
Lineage: Eukaryota; Metazoa; Chordata; Mammalia; Rodentia; Bathyergidae
Description: lncRNA (ENSHGLG00100047200.1)
Source: RNAcentral
CCAGUGCCGACCCCAACCGGAGCCCUUUCAGCAGAGUCUCCCUUCUCCCACCCCUACCCAGUUCCACGUUAAUGUCCACACUUUACCGGCACCGUGACAUCCUCUUGCAGCCUUCUGAUUCUCUUCUCUGUGCCUCGUCUCUCAACUCUGCUGUCUCACAGCUUGAACUCUCCCUAUCUCUGGACUGGAUCUCUUGGGUCGCUAAGGGACCCUGUACCUCGGGGCUGCCUCCACCAUCUACCAGAAUGUGACAAGGGAGACAAUAAUGGCCACCAUGCUUGAUACUAAGAGGGCUACACUUCAGAUAUUCAUUAGCACCUGGAAAGACAUCAGCCCACUAUCGAGAGAAUCAGGUGCCUCAUGUGCCAGCCUGAGGAGGAGUAUUUUUCAAGCCCUGGACCCAGCGCUGUGCCAAGGCAGUUCAGGGAGGAGCUGACUGUCUUGGAUAAGGACACUGAAAUCUGAAACGAAAGCCUGGAUAAAUUCAGUCCACUGACUGAAGGAAAAAAUGAGAAAGUUCACAGUGCAGAGUCUGUUCCUGGGAAGGGCUGGACCAGCAGAGGGCACUGGGGCACCAAGGAUAAGUUUGAAAAGUCCUGUGGGCUUGAAACACCAGGAGAAGAAAGGACAGAUAGCGGG